This 66-nucleotide transfer RNA is filed under the name Labidostomis lusitanica. Its description in RNAcentral is "tRNA-Glu". The record is from RNAcentral. Lineage: Eukaryota; Metazoa; Arthropoda; Insecta; Coleoptera; Chrysomelidae.
UUUUAUAUAGUUUAAUUAAUAAAACAUUACAUUUUCACUGUAAAAAUAGAUAUAAUCUUAUAAUAC